AAGUUGUAACAAGGUUUCCGUAGGUAAACCUGCGGAAGAAUUAUUACCUAGCCUAGGCCACUGCUUAUUAGCGUGCCGCUUAUGCCUAUUACCUUAACUAUGCGCACCUUUAUUAUUCCCUUAGCAGUUUGCUGCCGCUAGAGACUCUCUAAACUCUUAUGUAAUACAGUACACUUCUGAAAACAAACCUAAUUAUUUACAA
Molecule: unclassified non-coding RNA, 202 nt
Filed under: plant metagenome
Description: partial contains small subunit ribosomal RNA and internal transcribed spacer 1
Source: RNAcentral